This 316-nucleotide transfer-messenger RNA is filed under the name Minisyncoccia. Its description in RNAcentral is "GWB1-50-10 sp001004105 Standard tmRNA". It matches the Rfam family "transfer-messenger RNA". From Rfam's summary of the family: Bacterial tmRNA, also known as 10Sa RNA or SsrA, is named for its dual tRNA and mRNA-like properties. Its role is to liberate the mRNA from a stalled ribosome. To accomplish this part of the tmRNA is used as a reading frame that ends in a translation stop signal. Lineage: Bacteria; Bacillati; Minisyncoccota. The record is from RNAcentral.
GGGCAUGUCGGGCUUUGAGAGAAUGCCGAUUCGCAAAUCUGCAGGCCGAGCUGCCGAACCUCGUUAAACUUCGGCAACAAAUAUUAACUGCCAACUCUAAAGUUGCAGCCCCCGCGUUAGCUUUCGCUUAAUGCGGCAUCGGUCUCCAACGUUCCAUAGGAGGCAACCGGUGUAAUAAAUGGAGCUCGCCUCCGGCAAGACGGCUUGGUAGCCGGGGAUUAAAUCACAAAGCCAAAAUUUUCUCGCAAGAGAUAAGUCUGUAGAGGAUUUGUGAUGAUCGUUCUCCACGCCGGUUCAACUCCGGCCAUGUCCACCC